Molecule: ribosomal RNA, 683 nt
Filed under: uncultured bacterium
Lineage: Bacteria
Description: bacterial SSU rRNA
Rfam family: Bacterial small subunit ribosomal RNA
Source: RNAcentral
CGGUCAACGGAUUAGGUUGCUUAGUGGCGGACGGGUGAGUAACGCGUGAGGAACCUGCCUUUCAGAGGGGGACAACAGUUGGAAACGACUGCUAAUACCGCAUAACACAUAGAUGUCGCAUGGCAUUUGUGUCAAAGAUUUAUCGCUGAAAGAUGGCCUCGCGUCUGAUUAGCUAGUUGGUGAGGUAACGGCUCACCAAGGCGACGAUCAGUAGCCGGACUGAGAGGUUGGCCGGCCACAUUGGGACUGAGAUACGGCCCAGACUCCUACGGGAGGCAGCAGUGGGGAAUAUUGGGCAAUGGGCGCAAGCCUGACCCAGCAACGCCGCGUGAAGGAAGAAGGCUUUCGGGUUGUAAACUUCUUUUGACAGGGAAGAGUAGAAGACGGUACCUGUCGAAUAAGCCACGGCUAACUACGUGCCAGCAGCCGCGGUAAUACGUAGGUGGCAAGCGUUGUCCGGAUUUACUGGGUGUAAAGGGCGUGUAGCCGGGUUGACAAGUCAGAUGUGAAAUCCUGCGGCUUAACCGCAGAACUGCAUUUGAAACUGUUGAUCUUGAGUACUGGAGAGGCAGACGGAAUUCCUAGUGUAGCGGUGAAAUGCGUAGAUAUUAGGAGGAACACCAGUGGCGAAGGCGGUCUGCUGGACAGCAACUGACGGUGAGGCGCGAAAGCGUGGGGAGCAA